UCUCCAUCCUUUCUCCCAAUCUAGCCGGUUGGACGAAUCGUGCAGGCAGCGCUGGCGACCACAACCUCAAGCAGACCAGUGGUCCACCUCACGCCACCUCAUCGUUAGCCUCCGCCCCUAUCCUCUCCCCAAAGCAAUCGACCUCGUCUCCCACCCUCUCCUCCUCGCCUCAUCAGAAGAGAAGAUAACAGCAAGAUCGACCAGAUCAGGCGCCAGUCAUGGCGGCGGCCAGAUUCGCCGCGGCCGCAGCCACCUAGCUAAGGCUCCGAUCUUGGCUGCCAUGGAGGUCAAAACAGCACGCCGGGACAGGACCUAACCACGACCAUAAAUGAGGACAUGGCGCCAUGCAAGCGAGAGGAGCAAGGUGGCUUCUGCAGGUUGCGGCUGAGAUUUUCAGCACAAGAAGAGGCUAGGCACCUUUGGGGCUUAGAAUAGCAGGGUGAGAUGGAGUUUUGUGGAGCACUAAGGUAGAUACAGUUGUGGUACUGUAUUUUGAGUAGUAUUGCUGGUUCAUCAGUUUUGGUGGGAUUGGUUGCUCUCGUGUGUUGUGAUGUUGGGUUGCUAUUUACCCAUAUUCGUGUAAUUAGUUGGCUGUAUAGAGUUAUGUAGUUGGAUGUAGUGUUCUUGCUGCGAUUGUGAGGUAUUUUGUGUCUGCUAAUUUAAAAUCAGGGCUGAUCCUUGUGACCAGAA
This is a long non-coding RNA of Aegilops tauschii subsp. strangulata, 690 nucleotides long. RefSeq lists it as uncharacterized. NCBI's taxonomy places the organism in Eukaryota, Viridiplantae, Streptophyta, Magnoliopsida, Poales, Poaceae. The record is from RefSeq and is a predicted model, not a curated record.